UUAAGAUAAAAGCCCGGGGCUCAACUCCGGUUCGUCUUAAAAACUGGUAGACUUGAGUGUGGUAGAGGUAAAUGGAAUUUCUAGUGUAGCGGUGAAAUGCGUAGAUAUUAGAAGGAACACCAGUGGCGAAGGCGAUUUACUGGGCCAUAACUGACGCUGAGGCACGAAAGCGUGGGGAGCAAAUAGGAUUAGAUACCCUAGUAGUCCACGCCGUAAACGAUGAGUACUAAGUGUUGGAGAUUCCAGUGCUGAAGCUAACGUAUUAAGUACUCCGCCUGAGUAGUACGGUCGCAAGGCUGAAACUCAAAGGAAUUGACGGGCACCCGCACAAGCGGUGGAGCAUGCUGUUUAAUUCGAAGAUACGCGAAGAACCUUACCUAGACUUGACAUCCCCGGCAAAGACAUGGAAACAUGUUGGAGGUUACCCGGGAGACAGGUGGUGCAUGGUUGUCGUCAGCUCGUGUCGUGAGAUGUUCGGUUAAGUCCGCUAACGAGCGCAACCCUUAUCCUUAGUUGCUAACAGUAAGAUGAGAACCCUAAGGAGACUGCCGGUGAUAAGCCGGAGGAAGGUGGGGAUGACGUCAAAUCAUCAUGCCCCUUACGUCUAGGGCUACAGGCGUGCUAUAAUGGCCAAUAUAAAGAGAAGCAAUACCGUGAGGUGGAGCAAAACUCCAAAGUUGGUCUCAGUUCGGAUUGAAGUCUGCAACUCGACUUCAUGAAGUUAGAAUCGCUAGUAAUCCUGAAUCAGAAUGUCAGGGUGAAUACGUUCCCGGGUGUUGUACACACCGCCCGUCACGCCACGAAAGUCUGUAAUACCCGAAUGUGGUAGCCUAACCUUUUAGGAGGGGGCCAUUUAAGGUAGGACAGGUGAUUGGGGUGAAGUCGUAACAAGGUAUCCCUA
Molecule: ribosomal RNA, 901 nt
Filed under: human gut metagenome
Description: bacterial SSU rRNA
Rfam family: Bacterial small subunit ribosomal RNA
Source: RNAcentral